AGGCUUAAAAAAAUGACUAUUCCAAAUUAACUACAACAUGCAACCAUUGUGUAUAACUGGUUGGGUUGUUGUGGUGGCUUAUUUCAAUGUAGAAUUAAACCACAUCCUUUCAAGUUAAAUUUUUUUAAAAAGUAAAAAAUCCUCUCGCCCUGAAUAACUUAAUCCAAGCUUCGUAUCCACCACUAAAGUUCAGAUUUGGAUGACUUGGCUCCCAAUAAGCAUUUGAUUCCCACGCCUGAUUUCAGUUUCUCAACCGGAUUCCCAUUCCACCUUUGCCUCAUCCACCUGAAUCUCUGCAUUGAUCUCUCCUUUAUAAAGAAACAAACCUACAAUGCUCUUGUCCAUCCUCGGAAGAUGUUCACUCUCCAUGUCGAACCUUUGGAGGAAUUGGGCUUCCACUUUCCCUUCCGAUGGAAUUCGAGUUUCUUGUGCUCAGGCUGCUCCUUAACUACAGUGCUACUUCCGAACUCCGAGGGUCCAUCUGGCUUCAAGUGAACCCAGUAACCAAGUGUG
This 513-nucleotide long non-coding RNA is filed under the name Physcomitrium patens. Its description in RNAcentral is "long non-coding RNA (PPAT_LNC009289)". Lineage: Eukaryota; Viridiplantae; Streptophyta; Bryopsida; Funariales; Funariaceae. The record is from RNAcentral.